AACGAACGCUGGCGGCGUGCCUAACACAUGCAAGUCGAGCGAGAAAGCCUUCGGGUGAGUAAAGCGGCGGACGGGUGAGUAACGCGUGGGUAAUCUGCCCUUUGAUGGGGGAUAACACUCCGAAAGGAGUGCUAAUACCGCAUAAGACCACAGCACUUUCGGGUGCAGGGGUAAAAGAUGUCUGGUUUCGGCCAGAUGUCGUCGAAGGAUGAGCUCGCGUCCCAUUAGCUAGUUGGCAGGGUAAUGGCCUACCAAGGCUCCGAUGGGUAGCUGGUCUGAGAGGAUGAUCAGCCACACUGGGACUGAGACACGGCCCAG
This 318-nucleotide ribosomal RNA is filed under the name uncultured bacterium. RNAcentral describes it as "bacterial SSU rRNA". It matches the Rfam family "Bacterial small subunit ribosomal RNA", at positions 29 to 334 of the family's 1533-position model. The record is from RNAcentral.